AUAUGGCGCACCGAGUACAGGGGUGUUGCACAGCAAAUCAUUGCAGGAUCCUGGACAGAGAAGACUGCUCUGGAUUUUGAGGGGCUUCCGAAGCAGACCCAUGGGAAUGACUGUGGUGUCUUCAUGAUAAUGUAUGCCUGGUAUUUUGCCAUGGAGGCCAGCUUUGACUUCAGCAUUCAUGACAUGUCUCUCCUGAGAAGGUGGUGGUGUGUUAUCCUGGUGGAAAACUUUGGACUGGAAGGGUAUGCUGCAGUGCUACAAAAACAUUUGAAUUUGUAAUUGUAUUAUCAAGAAGAUUUGGGGGGAACACCUGGC
Gymnodraco acuticeps is the source of this 315-nucleotide long non-coding RNA. RefSeq lists it as uncharacterized. The transcript has 5 exons. The record is from RefSeq and is a predicted model, not a curated record. NCBI's taxonomy places the organism in Eukaryota, Metazoa, Chordata, Actinopteri, Perciformes, Bathydraconidae.